This is a non-coding RNA of Poecilia reticulata (guppy), 184 nucleotides long. The record is from RefSeq and is a predicted model, not a curated record. Lineage: Eukaryota; Metazoa; Chordata; Actinopteri; Cyprinodontiformes; Poeciliidae.
AGGCCUCGUCAUCCAGAGGAAGAUUGUCUGUACGUUAAUGCGAAACCAGUGGUUUCCUGUGAAGGUUAAAACUCUCAACCAGAACAAAGGAAAGAACAACAGAGAAGGAAGGUGGAGUCCAGCAGUAACGGAUGCUGCAGUUUAUUCUACGAUGUGGAUGCAGCUGCCAUGCAGGCUGCAGGCU